GACGAACGCUGUCGGCGUGCUUAACACAUGCAAGUCGAACGGAAAGGCCCUGCUUUUGUGGGGUGCUCGAGUGGCGAACGGGUGAGUAACACGUGAGUAACCUGCCCUUGACUUUGGGAUAACUUCAGGAAACUGGGGCUAAUACCGGAUAGGAGCUCCUGCUGCAUGGUGGGGGUUGGAAAGUUUCGGCGGUUGGGGAUGGACUCGCGGCUUAUCAGCUUGUUGGUGGGGUAGUGGCUUACCAAGGCUUUGACGGGUAGCCGGCCUGAGAGGGUGACCGGCCACAUUGGGACUGAGAUACGGCCCAGACUCCUACGGGAGGCAGCAGUGGGGAAUAUUGCACAAUGGGCGGAAGCCUGAUGCAGCAACGCCGCGUGCGGGAUGACGGCCUUCGGGUUGUAAACCGCUUUCGCCUGUGACGAAGCGUGAGUGACGGUAAUGGGUAAAGAAGCACCGGCUAACUACGUGCCAGCAGCCGCGGUGAUACGUAGGGUGCGAGCGUUGUCCGGAUUUAUUGGGCGUAAAGGGCUCGUAGGUGGUUGAUCGCGUCGGAAGUGUAAUCUUGGGGCUUAACCCUGAGCGUGCUUUCGAUACGGGUUGACUUGAGGAAGGUAGGGGAGAAUGGAAUUCCUGGUGGAGCGGUGGAAUGCGCAGAUAUCAGGAGGAACACCAGUGGCGAAGGCGGUUCUCUGGGCCUUUCCUGACGCUGAGGAGCGAAAGCGUGGGGAGCGAACAGGCUUAGAUACCCUGGUAGUCCACGCUGUAAACGGUGGGUACUAGGUGUGGGGUCCAUUCCACGGGUUCCGUGCCGUAGCUAACGCUUUAAGUACCCCGCCUGGGGAGUACGGCCGCAAGGCUAAAACUCAAAGGAAUUGACGGGGCCCCGCACAAGCGGCGGAGCAUGCGGAUUAAUUCGAUGCAACGCGUAGAACCUUACCUGGGUUUGACAUGGAUCGGGAGUGCUCAGAGAUGGGUGUGCCUCUUUUGGGGUCGGUUCACAGGUGGUGCAUGCCUGUCGUCAGCUCGUGUCGUGAGAUGUUGGGUUAAGUCCCGCAACGAGCGCAACCCUUGUUCACUGUUGCCAGCACGUUAUGGUGGGGACUCAGUGGAGACCGCCGGGGACAACUCGGAGGAAGGUGGGGAUGACGUCAAGUCCUCAUGCCCCUUAUGUCCAGGGCUUCACGCAUGCUACAAUGGCUGGUACAGAGAGUGGCGAGCCUGUGAGGGUGAGCGAAUCUCGGAAAGCCGGUCUCAGUUCGGAUUGGGGUCUGCAACUCGACCUCAUGAAGUCGGAGUCGCUAGUAAUCGCAGAUCAGCAACGCUGCGGUGAAUACGUUCCCGGGGCU
Molecule: ribosomal RNA, 1346 nt
Filed under: uncultured bacterium
Lineage: Bacteria
Description: bacterial SSU rRNA
Rfam family: Bacterial small subunit ribosomal RNA
Source: RNAcentral